This 293-nucleotide long non-coding RNA is filed under the name Phoenix dactylifera (date palm). Its description in RNAcentral is "long non-coding RNA (PDAC_LNC012579)". The record is from RNAcentral. Lineage: Eukaryota; Viridiplantae; Streptophyta; Magnoliopsida; Arecales; Arecaceae.
AACUCAGUUCAUUAGAUCGGAUUGGAGGCUUAGGUGCCCUCUUCAAACCAGUUAGGAGCUGUCUAGUGAUUUUAGGGCAAACAUAAGGAAUUGAUGUGUUUUUCUUUUAAUGCAUGCUUGACUGCACUUGACUGAUUAGAAGAGCUUUAGUGUAUGUUAGGGUGUCGUUCCAGAUCUCCUGAAUUAGUACCUUUUGAUUCUGAGAUAGAGCGUUCUAUUAGGGCCCUUCGAGCUGAAAUCUGCACCUAUAGAACCAUAGAAUCUGCUCCACCUGUCAAGAUGGCUGAAGAACA